AUGCACAACAUAUAUGUUGGGUUGUGGAGUGGACCUAUCACCUGUGCAGAUAUGAGCAGAAAGCAUCAGAAUUUCUGUGCAAGCCAGGUGGAGGUGUGGGAUGGCGUCCUACUCUUCAAAACUUGGCUUAACAUUCAAAUCCUCUCUCAUAAGAUUCAACAGCCUUUGCAGUGGUGAUCCGUGGUAGUGUACGGUGCCAUUCCGGGAGGUAAAUAUAGGCUGUGUCGAAUCACACUGGCAUGUACGAGGUUUGACAUUUACGAGUGCUGAGAGAGUCGCAAGAGCCCCGGCUGCUAGACAGCUGGAAAUCAGUGCCAGCAUGCAAAACCUAAUAACAACACUGAUAUUUACUCUCUUUCUCUUUGCUCUUCCUCUGUCUUGAGUGUGUCCCUCUCUUCGAUUCCUUUGAUUUUCAUCUUUCCUCAUGGGGGCAGCACAUCUCCACAUUUGAUGAAAUCUGAUAAUCCUCUCAUGGCCCCCACACAGAGAUUCACUUCAUUCUUAUUUUCAUUUUUUUCCCCUCUGCACCUUCUCUCUAUACUCUUCUGAAAUCUUUUCUAUUUUUUUUUUUUUCCUUUUGUGGGGGGCCACCGUGAGUCAAGCUCUACUGCUUUACCAAUUCCAUCAAAAGGCUAAUCAACAAUCUCGGAGCGGGGCAGUACUCAGAACAGUCAUUCUUUCUGUGCCCAACUGGCAAUCCAGCAAAAGCAAGCAAGCGCUGCAGUAAUAGACCUUGAAUUACAAUUAAUCCUGCCUGGCUCGAUUUGCCAAUAGUAAUUCCAGUGCUGCGAGAGCAGGACCAGGUUCAGGCUCGGCUGGAGACUGCAGGGGUGGAGAAACAAGACAACCGGAGUGAGGGAGAAAGAGAACGAAUGAUUUAGAGCCAUGUUACCUGUCACUCAAGCAAAAAUUACAGCUCUUUUACGGCCUCGGCAAAAGACCGGGCCAUUAGUCUUUCAGGUGCUUAUUUUACAUUUGUCACUGUGUGUAGUCCAGCACCCAUAAAACAGAGUACAUUUUGAGAAUCUCUACAGUACCUGUGCUGUAGGUAUAAGUUGUUUGAUGUGCAGGCCAAGGCAGAGGGAAGAUGAGGAGGGUGUUGGGAAAGCUCUGAGCAGCAGGUUGGUUUCCUGCCAGGAGUCUGCUGAAGUGCCCAAGGUGCUCUCUGGUAUUUAGAUUAGGAGGCAAAGAGGGAUUUCAUUAGUUGUUUAU
Molecule: long non-coding RNA, 1212 nt
Organism: Cyprinus carpio carpio
Lineage: Eukaryota; Metazoa; Chordata; Actinopteri; Cypriniformes; Cyprinidae
Source: Ensembl